Molecule: ribosomal RNA, 253 nt
Filed under: uncultured bacterium
Lineage: Bacteria
Description: partial 16S ribosomal RNA
Rfam family: Bacterial small subunit ribosomal RNA
Source: RNAcentral
UACGUAGGUGGCAAGCGUUGUCCGGAUUUAUUGGGUUUAAAGGGUGCGUAGGCGGCCCUGUAAGUCAGUGGUGAAAUACUCCAGCUUAACUGGAGGGGUGCCAUUGAUACUGCAGGGCUUGAGUACAGAUGAAGUAGGCGGAAUUGACGGUGUAGCGGUGAAAUGCAUAGAUAUCAAGCAGAACACCUGCGGCGAAGGCGGCCUUCUGGACGAUGACUGACGCUGAGACGCGAAAGCGUGGGGAGCAAACAGG